RNAcentral lists this ribosomal RNA (543 nucleotides) under Citrobacter freundii. RNAcentral describes it as "bacterial SSU rRNA". It matches the Rfam family "Bacterial small subunit ribosomal RNA", at positions 526 to 1067 of the family's 1533-position model. The record is from RNAcentral. Lineage: Bacteria; Pseudomonadati; Pseudomonadota; Gammaproteobacteria; Enterobacterales; Enterobacteriaceae.
CGGAGGGUGCAAGCGUUAAUCGGAAUUACUGGGCGUAAAGCGCACGCAGGCGGUCUGUCAAGUCGGAUGUGAAAUCCCCGGGCUCAACCUGGGAACUGCAUCCGAAACUGGCAGGCUAGAGUCUUGUAGAGGGGGGUAGAAUUCCAGGUGUAGCGGUGAAAUGCGUAGAGAUCUGGAGGAAUACCGGUGGCGAAGGCGGCCCCCUGGACAAAGACUGACGCUCAGGUGCGAAAGCGUGGGGAGCAAACAGGAUUAGAUACCCUGGUAGUCCACGCCGUAAACGAUGUCGACUUGGAGGUUGUGCCCUUGAGGCGUGGCUUCCGGAGCUAACGCGUUAAGUCGACCGCCUGGGGAGUACGGCCGCAAGGUUAAAACUCAAAUGAAUUGACGGGGGCCCGCACAAGCGGUGGAGCAUGUGGUUUAAUUCGAUGCAACGCGAAGAACCUUACCUACUCUUGACAUCCACRGAAYUUAGCAGAGAUGCUUUGGUGCCUUCGGGAACUGUGAGACAGGUGCUGCAUGGCKGUCGUCAGCUCGGUGUUG